This 468-nucleotide ribosomal RNA is filed under the name uncultured bacterium. Its description in RNAcentral is "partial 16S ribosomal RNA". It matches the Rfam family "Bacterial small subunit ribosomal RNA", at positions 28 to 507 of the family's 1533-position model. The record is from RNAcentral.
GACGAACGCUGGCGGCGUGCUUAACACAUGCAAGUCGAACGGAAAGGCCCUGCUUUUGUGGGGUGCUCGAGUGGCGAACGGGUGAGUAACACGUGAGUAACCUGCCCUUGACUUUGGGAUAACUUCAGGAAACUGGGGCUAAUACCGGAUAGGAGCUCCUGCUGCAUGGUGGGGGUUGGAAAGUUUCGGCGGUUGGGGAGGGACUCGCGGCUUAUCAGCUUGUUGGUGGGGUAGUGGCUUACCAAGGCUUUGACGGGUAGCCGGCCUGAGAGGGCGACCGGCCACAGUGGGACGGAGACACGGCGCGGAGGACGCGGGGCGGCAGCAGGGGGGAAGAGUGCACAAGGGGCGCAAGCAUGAUGCAGCGACGCCGCGUGAGGGAGGACGGCCGUCGGGUUGGAAACCUCGUGCAGCGGGGAAGAAGCGAAAGGGACGGUAACUGCAGAAGAAGCGACGGCGAGCUACGUG